AGUCAACAUAUUUUCAUUGGUCAUUUGGUCUUUAUACAGCUGUUAGAAUUAUAGUGGUCCAUGGUAUUGCUGAGGUGUUUGGGAAAAGUAUUACCACUGAUGUGAACAGUGUGGCUAACUUUCAUCUUUACAGUGAAUGAGAAAAUGAAACAUUAUGUCUAAUAACGACGAACGUCUGGUGUUAUCUUGUCUGUUGCCACGUCUUAAGGUAAGAUCAGGGUACGAUAAUUCAAGAUUUUUAGUCCGCGUACCUGACUGGUACUCCAA
Paramuricea clavata is the source of this 267-nucleotide non-coding RNA. Lineage: Eukaryota; Metazoa; Cnidaria; Anthozoa; Malacalcyonacea; Plexauridae. The record is from the annotation of a GenBank genome assembly.